This 134-nucleotide small RNA is filed under the name Salmonella enterica. RNAcentral's name for it is "RtT sRNA". It matches the Rfam family "RtT RNA". Rfam says of the family: This family represents a bacterial cis-regulatory element known as RtT RNA. The exact function of RtT is unknown although it is thought that it may be involved in changing the cellular response in relation to amino acid starvation. RNAcentral also lists the same sequence under 2 other names. Lineage: Bacteria; Pseudomonadati; Pseudomonadota; Gammaproteobacteria; Enterobacterales; Enterobacteriaceae. The record is from RNAcentral.
UGUAUCUGAAGCCUGACGAGGAUGAGAACCUCCAGGGGCAAGAGGUUCGACCCGAGCGAAGCGAGAAAACGUUGCGUCAGCAACGGCCCGCAGGGCGAGCCACGCAGUGGCGAGUCAUCCUCUAUCACCGACCA